This 115-nucleotide ribosomal RNA is filed under the name uncultured bacterium. RNAcentral describes it as "partial 16S ribosomal RNA". It matches the Rfam family "Bacterial small subunit ribosomal RNA", at positions 1371 to 1482 of the family's 1533-position model. The record is from RNAcentral.
UUCCCGGGCCUUGUACACACCGCCCGUCACACCACGAAAGUUGGCAAUACCCGAAGCCGGUGGCCUAACCCCGCAAGGGAGGGAGCCGUCGAAGGUAGGGUCGAUGAUUGGGGUG